UACCAGCACCCCGAGUGGUCGGGACGAUUAUUGGGCCUAAAGCAUCCGUAGCCGGUUUUACAAGUCCUCCGUUAAAUCCAGCUGCUUAACAGAUGGGCUGCGGAGGAUACUAUAAGACUAGGAGGCAGGAGAGGCAAGCGGUACUCAGUGGGUAGGGGUAAAAUCCGUUGAUCCAUUGAAGGCCACCAGUGGCGAAGGCGGCUUGCCAGAAUGCGCUCGACGGUGAAGGAUGAAAGCUGGGGGAGCAAACCGG
RNAcentral lists this ribosomal RNA (253 nucleotides) under uncultured bacterium. RNAcentral's name for it is "partial 16S ribosomal RNA". It matches the Rfam family "Archaeal small subunit ribosomal RNA", at positions 474 to 727 of the family's 1478-position model. The record is from RNAcentral.